This 2877-nucleotide ribosomal RNA is filed under the name metagenome. RNAcentral describes it as "bacterial LSU rRNA". It matches the Rfam family "Bacterial large subunit ribosomal RNA". The record is from RNAcentral.
UUAAGCUAGUAAGAGCGUAGGGUGAAUGCCUAGGUACCAAGAGACGAAGAAAGACGUGACAAGCUGCGAAAAGCCAUGGUGAGGAGCAAAUAUCCAGAGACCCAUGGAUGUCUGAAUGGGGGAACCCAAUACAUGUAAGAAGUGUAUUAUCCACAUAUGAAUAAAAUAGUAUGUGAGAAGUGAAACGAGGUGAACUGAAACAUCUAAGUAACCUCAGGAAAAGAAAGAGAAAUCGAUUCCGAAAGUAGUGGCGAGCGAAAUCGGAAGAGCCCAAACCAGGAGAAGAAAUUCACUUGGGGUUGAGGACUACAAUAAGCUACUUUAAAUUAUAAUAGAACUGUUUUGGAAAAGCAGGCCAGAGAGAGUGAAAGCCUCGUACAUGAAAUAAGGAGAAGAGUGAGUAGAAUCCAGAGUACAACAGGACACGAGAAAUCUUGUUGGAAGCAGGUCAGACCACUGACCAAGGCUAAAUACUACUUGGUGACCGAUAGUGAAGAAGUACCGUGAGGGAAAGUUGAAAAGAACCCCGGGAGGGGAGUGAAAUAGAACCUGAAACCCUAUGUUUACAAGCAGGUAAAGAGCGUUAAGGCUCGAUACCGUACUUUUUGUAGAACGGUCCGGCGAGUUAUACGUAUGAUGCGAGGUUAAGUGCUAUGUAAGGUACGAAGCCGAAGGGAAACCGAGUCUGAAUAGGGCGAAAUAAGAGUAUCAUGCGAUAGACCCGAAACCGAGUGACCUAUCCAUGAGCAGGCUGAAGCUGGAGUAAAAUCCAGUGGAGGGCCGAACGAGUAUCCGUUGAAAAGGGUUUCGAUGACUUGUGGAUAGCGGAGAAAUUCCAAUCGAACUCGGAGAUAGCUGGUUCUCCUCGAAAUAGCUUUAGGGCUAGCCUUGUUAAGUAGUAUGUGGAGGUAAAGCACUGAAUGUGUGAGGGAUCCUACCAGAUUACCGAGCACUAUCAAACUAAGAAUGCCAUAUAUGUAAAAACAGGAGUCAGACAGUGACAGACAAGUGCCAUUGUCAAAAGGGAAAGAGCCCAGACCAACAGCUAAGGUCCCAAAAUUAUAGUUAAGUGGAAAAGGAUGUAAGAACUCAUAGACAACUAGGAUGUUGGCUCAGAAGCAGCCAUGCAUUUAAAGAGUGCGUAAUAGCUCACUAGUCGAAGUGGUCUUGCGCCGAAAAUUACCGGGGCUAAACUAUAUACCGAAGCUUUGGAUUUCAUAUCAAGAGAUAUGAAGUGGUAGAGGAGCGUUGUAUACAGGAUGAAGCUAUACUGAAAAGAGUAGUGGACGGUAUACAAGUGAGAAUGCCGGAAUAAGUAGCGAGAGGAUGGUGAGAAUCCAUCCCACCGAAAACCUAAGGUUUCCUGAGGAAGGUUCGUCCGCUCAGGGUAAGUCGGGGCCUAAGGCGAGGCUGAAAAGCGUAGUCGAUGGGAAGCAGGUAAAAGAUUCCUGCACUACCGAAAUGUAUUGAAUAUAUGGGGACGCAUCUUUAGAGGAUAAGCGUGCAAAUGGAAAAGUACGUACCGCAAGGUGGAGUGAAAAAUAGUAGUGAAGUAUCUAAAGAAGGUGACAAGAAAAGCCAUAUAGGAGCAUAGAGGUACUCGUACCGUAAACCGACACAGGUAGGAAGAAAGAGAAUUUUCAGGUGAGCGAGAUAAACAUUGUUAAGGAACUCGGCAAAUUGACCCCGUAACUUAGGGAGAAGGGGAGCCUAUAGAGAUAUAGGUCGCAGUGAAAAGGCCCAAGCAACUGUUUAACAAAAACACAGGUUUCUGCAAAAUCGAAAGAUGAAGUAUAGGAGCUGACGCCUGCCCAGUGCUGGAAGGUCAAGGGGAAGUGUUAGCAGUAAUGUGAAGCAUAGAACCAAAGCCCCAGUGAACGGCGGCCGUAACUAUAACGGUCCUAAGGUAGCGAAAUUCCUUGUCAGGUAAGUUCUGACCCGCACGAAAGGCGUAAUGAUUUGGGCACUGUCUCGACAAUGUACCCGGCGAAAUUGUAGUACUAGUGAAGAUGCUAGUUACCUGCGACAAGACAGAAAGACCCCAUGGAGCUUUACUGUAGCUUGAUACUGGGUUUCGGUAGUUUAUGUACAGGAUAGGUGGGAGACUAUGAGUACAGGGCGUCAGCCUUGUAGGAGUCACUGUUGGGAUACCACCCUUAAAUUACUGAAAUUCUAACUAGUCGUCGUAAUCCGGCGAUAGGACAAUGUCAGGUGGGCAGUUUGACUGGGGCGGUCGCCUCCAAAAGAGUAUCGGAGGCGCCCAAAGGUUUCCUCAGCCUGGUCAGAAAUCAGGCGAAAGAGUGUAAAGGCAGAAGGAAGCUUAACUGAAAGACAGACAUGUCGAGCAGAUACGAAAGUAGGGCUUAGUGAUCCGGUGGUAGUGAAUGGAAAUGCCAUCGCUCAACGGACAAAAGUUACCCUGGGGAUAACAGGCUUAUCUCCCCCAAGAGUUCACAUCGACGGGGAGGUUUGGCACCUCGAUGUCGGCUCAUCGCAUCCUGGGGCUGUAGUCGGUCCCAAGGGUUGGGCUGUUCGCCCAUUAAAGCGGUACGCGAGCUGGGUUCAGAACGUCGUGAGACAGUUCGGUCCUUAUCUGUCGCAGGCGCAGGAUAUUUGAAGGGAGCUGUCCUUAGUACGAGAGGACCAGGAUGGACAUACCGAUGGUGUAUCAGUUGUCACACCAGUGGCACGGCUGAGUAGCUAAGUAUGGAAGGGAUAAACGCUGAAAGCAUCUAAGUGUGAAGCCCACCCUAAGAUAAGAUAUCCCACAACGUAAGUUGGUAAGAUACCAUGAAGACUACAUGGUUGAUAGGUUGGAGGUGUAAGUACAGUAAUGUAUUAAGCUGACCAAUACUAAUAAAUCGAGGGCUUAACCAC